Molecule: non-coding RNA, 118 nt
Organism: Planctomycetes bacterium GWA2_40_7
Lineage: Bacteria; Pseudomonadati; Planctomycetota
Source: Rfam
GAGAGUAGGUCUCUCGGUUUCGGCGACCAGAAGUCGGAAUCAAACCGCCCUAUGCGGCAUUCAUUAAGAGUGCUUGUCGUGAGCGAUAAGGGAAAAGGCAAUCAGAGAAUUGUCAGGU